RNAcentral lists this ribosomal RNA (449 nucleotides) under uncultured bacterium. RNAcentral's name for it is "bacterial SSU rRNA". It matches the Rfam family "Bacterial small subunit ribosomal RNA", at positions 355 to 796 of the family's 1533-position model. The record is from RNAcentral.
UGGGGAAUAUUGGACAAUGGGCGCAAGCCUGAUCCAGCAAUGCCGCGUGUGUGAAGAAGGCCUGCGGGUUGUAAAGCACUUUCAGUGGGGAGGAAAGGGUUGUUGUUAAUACCAACAACAUUUGACGUUACCCACAGAAGAAGCACCGGCUAACUCUGUGCCAGCAGCCGCGGUAAUACAGAGGGUGCGAGCGUUAAUCGGAAUUACUGGGCGUAAAGGGUGCGUAGGUGGUUGAAUAAGUUGAGUGUGAAAGUCCCGGGCUUAACCUGGGGAUUGCACUCAAUACUGUUUAGCUAGAGUACUGUAGAGGAAGGUGGAAUUUCCGGUGUAGCGGUGAAAUGCGUAGAUAUCGGAAGGAACAUCAGUGGCGAAGGCGACUUUCUGGACAGAUACUGACACUGAGGCACGAAAGCGUGGGGAGCAAACAGGAUUAGAUACCCCGGUAGUCC